UUAAUUCGAUGAUCCGCGAAUAACCUUACCACAAUUUGAAUGACCUAAAAUAUUGUUAGCCUAGGGCUAGUUAACCCUAGGUUAUAAAGUUUUAGACCACAUGCGUUGCAUGGCUGUCUUCAGUUAAUGUCGUGAGAUUUGGUUAGGUCCAUUAAAUUAACGUAAACCCUUGUUUUAUUUAUUACAAUAAAGCAGCUCUCCGCUUACAAUUGGAUGUGAUAAUAGGGACUAAGACAAGUCAUCAUGGCCUUAAUAUUGUGGGCU
Molecule: ribosomal RNA, 264 nt
Filed under: Pyrenophora teres f. teres 0-1
Lineage: Eukaryota; Fungi; Ascomycota; Dothideomycetes; Pleosporales; Pleosporaceae
Description: eukaryotic small subunit ribosomal RNA
Rfam family: Bacterial small subunit ribosomal RNA
Source: RNAcentral